GAUGAACGCUGGCGGCGUGCCUAAUACAUGCAAGUCGAGCGAACAGACGCGGAGCUUGCUCCUCUGACGUUAGCGGCGGACGGGUGAGUAACACGUGUAUAACCUACCUAUCAGACUGGUAUAACUUCGGGAAACCGGAGCUAAUACCGUAUAAUAUAUUGAUCCGCAUGGUUCAAUAGUGAAAUACGGUUUUUCUGUCACUUAUCGAUGGAUCCGCGCCGCAUUAGCUAGUUGGUAAGGUAACGGCUUACCAAGGCAACGAUGCGUAGCCGACCUGAGAGGGGGGUCGGCCACACUGGAACUGAGACGGGGUCCAGAGUACUAAGGGAGGGAGCAGUAGGGAAUGUUCCGCAAUGGGCGAAAGCAUGACGGAGCAAGGCCGCGUGAGUGAUGAAGGUGUUCGGAGCGUAAAAAUCGGUUAUGAGGGAAGAACAAAUGUGUAAGGAACUAUGCACGGAUUGACGGUACCUAAUCAGAAAGCCACGGCUAACUACGUG
This 497-nucleotide ribosomal RNA is filed under the name uncultured bacterium. RNAcentral's name for it is "partial 16S ribosomal RNA". It matches the Rfam family "Bacterial small subunit ribosomal RNA", at positions 28 to 507 of the family's 1533-position model. The record is from RNAcentral.